AUCCAGUUGACGAGUCCAAAAUAGAACGAAACACACGUUCUGGAU
Molecule: non-coding RNA, 45 nt
Filed under: Schistosoma mansoni
Lineage: Eukaryota; Metazoa; Platyhelminthes; Trematoda; Strigeidida; Schistosomatidae
Source: RNAcentral